Trichosurus vulpecula (common brushtail) is the source of this 425-nucleotide non-coding RNA. Lineage: Eukaryota; Metazoa; Chordata; Mammalia; Diprotodontia; Phalangeridae. The record is from the annotation of a RefSeq genome assembly.
ACCCAGGACCAGCUGUGUGCUCUUUGGGCAGCAGAGCUCUUGGGGUCCUCUGCACCAUGGCCUGGCCUCUUGUCUGCCUCUUACUGCUCACUGUCUGCUCAGGUUCCUUCUCCCAGCUUGUGCUGACUCAGUCCCCCUCCAUGUCUGUGUCCCUGGGAGCCACAGCCAGACUCACCUGCACCCUGAGCAGUCAGCACAGCACCUACACUAUUGCUUGGCACCAGCAGAGCCCAGGAAAGGCCCCUCGGUAUCUCAUGUACAUUACCAGCAGUGGAGGUGCAAGCAGGGGCGAUGGGAUCCCUGAUCGCUUCUCUGGCUCCAGCUCUGGCGCAGACCGAUACUUGUCCAUCAGCAACAUCCAGCCUGAGGAUGAAGCCGAUUACUACUGUGGGGCAGGUCAUACAAUUGGUAAUAGCUAUGAGUAA